CCCUUAGAUGUCCUGGGCUGCACGCGCGCUACACUGAUGCAUUCAACGAGUUUCUUCCUGGUCCGAGAGGAAUGGGUAACCUUUUGAAAGUGCAUCGUGAUAGGGAUAGACUAUUGCAAUUAUUGGUCUUCAACGAGGAAUUCCUAGUAGACGUAGUUCAUCAGACUGCAUCGAUUACGUCCCUGCCCUUUGUACACACCGCCCGUCGCUCCUACCGAUUGAAUGCUCAGGUGAGCCAUUCGGACCUUCAUCAUGCCGGUUUCCGGUUUUGAUGAGGGAAAGUCUUGCGAACCUUAUCAUUUAGAGGAAGGAGAAGUCGUAACA
This 324-nucleotide ribosomal RNA is filed under the name uncultured eukaryote. Its description in RNAcentral is "partial 18S ribosomal RNA". It matches the Rfam family "Eukaryotic small subunit ribosomal RNA", at positions 1470 to 1796 of the family's 1831-position model. The record is from RNAcentral.